This 22-nucleotide microRNA is filed under the name Oreochromis niloticus (Nile tilapia). RNAcentral's name for it is "oni-miR-10859". Lineage: Eukaryota; Metazoa; Chordata; Actinopteri; Cichliformes; Cichlidae. The record is from miRBase by way of RNAcentral.
ACCUCGGGCAAAGAUGACGCUC